RNAcentral lists this ribosomal RNA (773 nucleotides) under uncultured Neocallimastigales. RNAcentral describes it as "partial large subunit ribosomal RNA". It matches the Rfam family "Eukaryotic large subunit ribosomal RNA", at positions 1 to 641 of the family's 3401-position model. The record is from RNAcentral. Lineage: Eukaryota; Fungi; Neocallimastigomycota; Neocallimastigomycetes; Neocallimastigales.
AGAGAGAGACAUGCGCGCAUAUCAUAAGCGGAGGAAAAGAAACUAACAAGGAUUCCCCUAGUAACGGCGAGUGAAGCGGGAAGAGCUCAAAUUUGAAAUCUUAAAGGGUUUCCCUUUACGAAUUGUAGUUUAAAGAAGUGUUUUCUGUUGAGGUUUUGGUAAAAGUUCUUUGGAAUAGGACAUCAUAGAGGGUGAGAAUCCCGUAUUUGACCUUUACUUUCAACUUUGUGAUACACUUUCAAAGAGUCGGAUUGUUUGGGAAUGCAGUCCAAAAUGGGUGGUAAAUUUCAUCUAAAGCUAAAUAUUGGCGAGAGACCGAUAGCGAACAAGUACCGUGAGGGAAAGAUGAAAAGAACUUUGAAAAGAGAGUUAAACAGUACGUGAAAUUGUCAAAAGGGGAGCGUUUGACACCAGUGUUGUUUUUCUGAAAAUCAAUUAAAGAACUGUUUAUGCUAAGCUGUUUAGGACUUUAUCAGCUAACUGUUUAGUUUUGAGCUUUUCUUUAAUGCACUUUUCAGUUAACAAGUCAACAUCAAUUUCUUUUGCUGUAAAAAAGCUUGAGGAAGGUGGCUUGAGAUUCGUCUUAAGUGUUUAUAGCCUCUUGCCUAUGCAGUCGGAGAGAUUGAGGUCUGCAGCGUAGAUCCUUCGGGGCUAAAUGCAUUUGUGCUAAGUUAUAGCAUUUUAUAGACAACUUGUUGACUAUGAUUUGUCUUGUAGCUUACUCGCUUAUGUUAUUUUACCUACGCUUAGGAUGUUGAGCGCAUGUCUCUCUC